This 759-nucleotide ribosomal RNA is filed under the name uncultured cyanobacterium. RNAcentral's name for it is "bacterial SSU rRNA". It matches the Rfam family "Bacterial small subunit ribosomal RNA", at positions 28 to 829 of the family's 1533-position model. Lineage: Bacteria; Bacillati; Cyanobacteriota. The record is from RNAcentral.
GAUGAACGCUGGCGGUCUGCAUAACACAUGCAAGUCGAACGGGUGUAGAAAUACAUUAGUGGCGGACGGGUGAGUAACGCGUGAGAAUCUGGCUUUAGGUUCGGGACAACCACUGGAAACGGUGGCUAAUACCGGAUGUGCCCUUGGGUAAAAGGUUUACCGCCUAAAGAUGAGCUCGCGUCUGAUUAGCUAGUUGGUGUGGUAAGAGCGCACCAAGGCGACGAUCAGUAGCUGGUCUGAGAGGAUGAUCAGCCACACUGGGACUGAGACACGGCCCAGACUCCUACGGGAGGCAGCAGUGGGGAAUUUUCCGCAAUGGGCGAAAGCCUGACGGAGCAAGACCGCGUGAGGGAGGAAGGCUCUUGGGUCGUAAACCUCUUUUCUCUGGGAAUAAUUAAUUGAAGGUACCAGAGGAAUCAGCAUCGGCUAACUCCGUGCCAGCAGCCGCGGUAAUACGGAGGAUGCAAGCGUUAUCCGGAAUGAUUGGGCGUAAAGAGUCCGUAGGUGGUGAUUCAAGUCGAUUGUUAAAGAGCGGGGCUUAACCCCGUAGAAGCAGUGGAAACUGAAUCGCUAGAGAGAGGUAGGGGUAGAGGGAAUUCCCGGUGUAGCGGUGAAAUGCGUAGAGAUCGGGAAGAACACCUGUGGCGAAGGCGCUCUACUGGGCCUCAUCUGACACUGAGGGACGAAAGCUAGGGGAGCGAAAGGGAUUAGAUACCCCUGUAGUCCUAGCCGUAAACGAUGGAUACUAGGUGUUGUCUG